Molecule: transfer RNA, 90 nt
Filed under: Bacillota bacterium
Lineage: Bacteria; Bacillati; Bacillota
Description: Firmicutes bacterium (anaerobic digester metagenome) tRNA-Ser
Rfam family: tRNA
About the family: Transfer RNA (tRNA) molecules are approximately 80 nucleotides in length. Their secondary structure includes four short double-helical elements and three loops (D, anti-codon, and T loops). Further hydrogen bonds mediate the characteristic L-shaped molecular structure. tRNAs have two regions of fundamental functional importance: the anti-codon, which is responsible for specific mRNA codon recognition, and the 3' end, to which the tRNAs corresponding amino acid is attached (by aminoacyl-tRNA synthetases). tRNAs cope with the degeneracy of the genetic code in two manners: having more than one tRNA (with a specific anti-codon) for a particular amino acid; and 'wobble' base-pairing, i.e. permitting non-standard base-pairing at the 3rd anti-codon position.
Source: RNAcentral
GGAAGGGUGUCCGAGGGGUUGAAGGAGGCGGUCUUGAAAACCGUUGGGCCUUUGCGGGUCCCGUGGGUUCGAAUCCCACCCCUUCCGCCA